RNAcentral lists this small RNA (21 nucleotides) under Arabidopsis thaliana (thale cress). RNAcentral describes it as "Ath_wt_05911". The record is from RNAcentral. Lineage: Eukaryota; Viridiplantae; Streptophyta; Magnoliopsida; Brassicales; Brassicaceae.
AUAGGGGAAUGUACCAUAUGA